UAGGGAAUCUUCGGCAAUGGACGGAAGUCUGACCGAGCAACGCCGCGUGAGUGAAGAAGGUUUUCGGAUCGUAAGGCUCUGUUGUAAGAGAAGAACGAGUGUGAGAGUGGAAAGUUCACACUGUGACGGUAUCUUACCAGAAAGGGACGGCUAACUACGUGCCAGCAGCCGCGGUAAUACGUAGGUCCCGAGCGUUGUCCGGAUUUAUUGGGCGUAAAGCGAGCGCAGGCGGUUAGAUAAGUCUGAAGUUAAAGGCUGUGGCUUAACCAUAGUACGCUUUGGAAACUGUUUAACUUGAGUGCAAGAGGGGAGAGUGGAAUUCCAUGUGUAGCGGUGAAAUGUGUAGAUAUAUGGAGGAACACCGGUGGCGAAAGCGGCUCUCUGGCUUGUAACUGACGCUGAGGCUCGAAAGCGUGGGGAGCAAACAGGAUUAGAUACCCUGGUAGUCCACGCCGUAAACGAUGAGUGCUAGGUGUUAGACCCUUUCCGGGGUUUAGUGCCGCAGCUAACGCAUUAAGCACUCCGCCUGGGGAGUACGACCGCAAGGUUG
Molecule: ribosomal RNA, 550 nt
Filed under: uncultured bacterium
Lineage: Bacteria
Description: bacterial SSU rRNA
Rfam family: Bacterial small subunit ribosomal RNA
Source: RNAcentral